Molecule: ribosomal RNA, 256 nt
Filed under: uncultured Gardnerella sp.
Lineage: Bacteria; Bacillati; Actinomycetota; Actinomycetes; Bifidobacteriales; Bifidobacteriaceae
Description: partial 16S ribosomal RNA
Rfam family: Bacterial small subunit ribosomal RNA
Source: RNAcentral
CGAACGGGUGAGUAAUGCGUGACCAACCUGCCCCAUGCUCCAGAAUAGCUCUUGGAAACGGGUGGUAAUGCUGGAUGCUCCAACUUGACGCAUGUCUUGUUGGGAAAGUGUUUAGUGGCAUGGGAUGGGGUCGCGUCCUAUCAGCUUGUAGGCGGGGUAAUGGCCCACCUAGGCUUCGACGGGUAGCCGGCCUGAGAGGGCGGACGGCCACAUUGGGACUGAUAUACGGCCCAGACUCCUACGGGAGGCAGCAGGC